Molecule: ribosomal RNA, 460 nt
Filed under: uncultured bacterium
Lineage: Bacteria
Description: partial 16S ribosomal RNA
Rfam family: Bacterial small subunit ribosomal RNA
Source: RNAcentral
CCUACGGGAGGCUGCAGUGAGGAAUAUUGGUCAAUGGCCGGACGCCUGAACCAGCCAUGCCGCGUGAAGGUCAGUGCCCUAUGGGCUUUAAACUUCUUUUAUGCGGGAGCAAUAAUGGUCGCGUGUGGCCCGACGAGAGUACCGUACGAAUAAGCAUCGGCUCACGCCGUGUCAGCAGCCGCGGUACUACUGUGGAUGCAAUCGUUAUCCGGAUUUAUUUGGUUUGAAGGGACCGUAGGCUGGUAGGUAAGUCAGCGUGGAAAUGCCCCCGCUCAACGGGGUGAAGUGCCACUGAUACUGCCUGGCUGGAAUGCGGAUGCCGUGAGAGGAAUGUGGGGUGUAGCGGUGAAAUGCAUAGAUAUCACACAGAACACCGAUGGCGAAGGCAGUUUACGAAUCCGCGAUUGACGCUGAGGCACGAAAGCGUGGGUAGCAAACAGGAUUAGAUACCCGUGUAGUC